UGUUUGCCGGCUACUCGUUUUCAGGAUUCCGGCCCUGUCCUAGAAUUCGAACGCGAUAUAUUCGUGAGGAACUGCCAAUACAGAGAGGAACACUCGAAGGCGCAAGAGAAACAGCCAAAGAAGAGUGGGGAAACAUGUCCAGAGGAGAGGAGGAAGGUGAAGGCCUUGCCAUAAAUUAUGGUUUGCUUCAGUUUUUAUCAUUUAAGAAAUCCACCACUGCUCCUAUGGUUUCCAACCUCUAAUCCCGAAGACACCUGCUGGUUAACUUCCAACCAGUUCAAAAGGUCAGCUCCUGUGGUUCCCAAGUGCCAGAAGCUUGCUAAGCUACAGAAUAGUAUGACAUUUCUAACAAUGUUGAUUUAAAAACGAUGAGAUCCAGUCUGCCUUGCCAAAGCUGUAUGCUAGUAGUCAGAACAAUGAGACAGACUGGUAUCACUUCAAGAAGGGAAUUUUGGCAUCUAAACUCUUGUGCCAGAAAGAGUAAUGCCUUUCCCUAUGAAGUUGCAGGUGACAAAGCAAAGGGUCUAACUGAGUGAAGCACUGAACACCACAGACAAAGGAUCAUGCAGCAAAGAGAAAGGCCACACUCCAGUGCAAGAAGAAUCCUCCACUUGAACCUGGAGCAGCAAGAGCAGCAACAACUCCACACAACAUCAGACAACACCUUUAAAGACUUGGUAUUAUAAAACUAUAUGUGCCAAGAUAAAUUAGAACUUUAAAUAACCAAUAAACAUCCAGCCUCCCUAUGUUAUUUGCUUGUCUGUUUAUUCUGUCUGUAUUCUGUCUUAUAUAUCAACAUAUAUAUGCAGUUAAUCAUAUUUCUAUAAUCCCUUUGUUUAUCAAUAAAU
This is a long non-coding RNA of Polypterus senegalus (gray bichir), 848 nucleotides long. RefSeq lists it as uncharacterized. NCBI's taxonomy places the organism in Eukaryota, Metazoa, Chordata, Cladistia, Polypteriformes, Polypteridae. The record is from RefSeq and is a predicted model, not a curated record. The transcript has 4 exons.